This is a long non-coding RNA of Notolabrus celidotus (New Zealand spotty), 736 nucleotides long. RefSeq lists it as uncharacterized. Lineage: Eukaryota; Metazoa; Chordata; Actinopteri; Labriformes; Labridae. The record is from RefSeq and is a predicted model, not a curated record. The transcript is spliced from 4 exons.
UGUUUAUAAUUUAAUCCAUAGUCUUACCUUAAGAAGCUGAAAAUCAACUCCUCUUAUCUUUGGACCAGGAACAGAUGGCAGAACAAACUGCUUCAAGCUUCAGGAACAAAAGGAAAAAAAACUCUGCUCCAAUUGUACUCUAAGUAUGAUGCAUGAGCGUCACAACACCAACUGCCUGCAUAACCAAACAACAGGUUAAUUACAAACAAGGUCACUUGACUCACCGAUUUCCAUCACAUCUAUCUUCAAGGAGUCUGAAGUGGAAUUCCCGAGGGCAUUGGAGGCCACCACUGUCAGGGGGGUUAACAAACGGAUCUGAAACUGAAGAAGAUUCCUGUGGCCUCAGGGUUAAAAACAACACAGAUGAUGUGAUUUAAACCCUCUUUGACUGUACUUCAUUAGCUGUGUGUAACUGCCCUCCCAUCUCUAUGUUGACCCGUUCAUUAACACCUCGCUGACCUUUCUCUCUCAUAAUAGAGGCGGUGUGUUGUUGGCAGACCUCCAUCAGAGCCUGGCUCCCACCAGCAGGAAAACGUCUCCUUCUCAGGGGACCUGCAGCUCAGCAGGACUGGUUUGCCUGGUGGAGACAUGCCUGGCAACAAAUACGACAAAGAGCGUCAGCUUCCAUUUCUCAGAUUGGCACUAACACAAUUAAAAACCACUUUACUUUAACUGGUCCCAUCUCAUCCCCAAUGGAAUGCUGACGCUUAAUGCUGAUUAAAGGUGUUAAAGAUAA